UACAGAGGUCUCAAGCGUUGUUCGGAUUCAUUGGGCGUAAAGGGUGCGUAGGCGGCGCGGUAAGUCGGGUGUGAAAUCUCAGGGCUCAACCCUGAAACUGCACUCGAUACUGCUCUGCUUGAGGACUGGAGAGGAGACUGGAAUUCACGGUGUAGCAGUGAAAUGCGUAGAUAUCGUGAGGAAGACCAGUGGCGAAGGCGGGUCUCUGGACAGUCCCUGACGCUGAGGCGCGAAGGCCAGGGGAGCAAACGGG
This 253-nucleotide ribosomal RNA is filed under the name uncultured bacterium. Its description in RNAcentral is "partial 16S ribosomal RNA". It matches the Rfam family "Bacterial small subunit ribosomal RNA", at positions 524 to 776 of the family's 1533-position model. The record is from RNAcentral.